AUACGAAGGUCCCAAGCGUUAUUCGGAAUCACUGGGCGUAAAGAGUACGUAGGCGGUUUGGUAAGUCAGGUGUGAAAUCCCGAAGCUCAACUUCGGAACUGCAUCCGAUACUGCCAGACUAGAGUAAUGGAGAGGCAGGUGGAAUUCUCGGUGUAGCAGUGAAAUGCGUGGAUAUCGAGAGGACGACCAAUGGCGAAGGCAGCCUGCUGGACAUUUACUGACGCUGAGGUACGAAGGCUAGGGGAGCGAAAGGGAUUAGAAACCCCGGUAGUCC
This 274-nucleotide ribosomal RNA is filed under the name uncultured bacterium. Its description in RNAcentral is "partial 16S ribosomal RNA". It matches the Rfam family "Bacterial small subunit ribosomal RNA", at positions 523 to 796 of the family's 1533-position model. The record is from RNAcentral.